AUGCUCGCUUUGGCAGCACAUAUAUUAAAAUUGGAACAAUACAAGAUUAGCAUGGCCCUGCGCAAGGAUGAUACGUGAAGGGAAAGGCGCUGCCAAUUCUG
RNAcentral lists this small nuclear RNA (101 nucleotides) under Zalophus californianus (California sea lion). The record is from RNAcentral. Lineage: Eukaryota; Metazoa; Chordata; Mammalia; Carnivora; Otariidae.